This 1355-nucleotide ribosomal RNA is filed under the name uncultured bacterium. RNAcentral describes it as "bacterial SSU rRNA". It matches the Rfam family "Bacterial small subunit ribosomal RNA", at positions 22 to 1399 of the family's 1533-position model. The record is from RNAcentral.
GCUCAGGACGAACGCUGGCGGCGCGCCUAACACAUGCAAGUCGAACGAGAGAGAGGGAGCUUGCUUCCUCAAUCGAGUGGCGAACGGGUGAGUAACGCGUGAGGAACCUGCCUCAAAGAGGGGGACAACAGUUGGAAACGACUGCUAAUACCGCAUAAGCCCACAGCUCGGCAUCGAGCAGAGGGAAAAGGAGCAAUCCGCUUUGAGAUGGCCUCGCGUCCGAUUAGCUAGUUGGUGAGGUAAUGGCCCACCAAGGCGACGAUCGGUAGCCGGACUGAGAGGUUGAACGGCCACAUUGGGACUGAGACACGGCCCAGACUCCUACGGGAGGCAGCAGUGGGGAAUAUUGCACAAUGGGGGAAACCCUGAUGCAGCGACGCCGCGUGGAGGAAGAAGGUCUUCGGAUUGUAAACUCCUGUUGUUGAGGAAGAUAAUGACGGUACUCAACAAGGAAGUGAUGGCUAACUACGUGCCAGCAGCCGCGGUAAAACGUAGGUCACAAGCGUUGUCCGGAAUUACUGGGUGUAAAGGGAGCGCAGGCGGGAAGACAAGUUGGAAGUGAAAUCUAUGGGCUCAACCCAUAAACUGCUUUCAAAACUGUUUUUCUUGAGUAGUGCAGAGGUAGGCGGAAUUCCCGGUGUAGCGGUGGAAUGCGUAGAUAUCGGGAGGAACACCAGUGGCGAAGGCGGCCUACUGGGCACCAACUGACGCUGAGGCUCGAAAGUGUGGGUAGCAAACAGGAUUAGAUACCCUGGUAGUCCACCCCGUAAACGAUGAUUACUAGGUGUUGGAGGAUUGACCCCUUCAGUGCCGCAGUUAACACAAUAAGUAAUCCACCUGGGGAGUACGACCGCAAGGUUGAAACUCAAAGGAAUUGACGGGGGCCCGCACAAGCAGUGGAGUAUGUGGUUUAAUUCGACGCAACGCGAAGAACCUUACCAAGUCUUGACAUCCUGCGACGAUGCUGGAAACAGUAUUUUCCUUCGGGACGCAGAGACAGGUGGUGCAUGGUUGUCGUCAGCUCGUGUCGUGAGAUGUUGGGUUAAGUCCCGCAACGAGCGCAACCCUUACUGUCAGUUACUACGCAAGAGGACUCUGGCAGGACUGCCGUUGACAAAACGGAGGAAGGUGGGGAUGACGUCAAAUCAUCAUGCCCCUUAUGCUUAGGGCUACACACGUGCUACAAUGGGUGGUACAGAGGGCAGCCAAGUCGUGAGGCGGAGCUAAUCCCUUAAAGCCAUUCUCAGUUCGGAUUGUAGGCUGAAACUCGCCUACAUGAAGCUGGAGUUACUAGUAAUCGCAGAUCAGAAUGCUGCGGUGAAUGCGUUCCCGGGUCUUGUACUCACCGCCCGUCA